AGUAACACGUGGAUAACCUACCUAUAAGACUGGGAUAACUUCGGGAAACCGGAGCUAAUACCGGAUGAUAUUUUGAACCGCAUGGUUCAAAAGUGAAAUACGGUCUUGCUGUCACUUAUAGAUGGAUCCGCGCUGCAUUAGCUAGUUGGUAAGGUAACGGCUUACCAAGGCAACGAUGCAUAGCCGACCUGAGAGGGUGAUCGGCCACACUUGAACUGAGACACGGUCCAG
This 231-nucleotide ribosomal RNA is filed under the name uncultured Staphylococcus sp. Its description in RNAcentral is "partial 16S ribosomal RNA". It matches the Rfam family "Bacterial small subunit ribosomal RNA", at positions 109 to 334 of the family's 1533-position model. The record is from RNAcentral. Lineage: Bacteria; Bacillati; Bacillota; Bacilli; Caryophanales; Staphylococcaceae.